RNAcentral lists this small nuclear RNA (23 nucleotides) under Arabidopsis thaliana (thale cress). Its description in RNAcentral is "snRNA_00336". The record is from RNAcentral. Lineage: Eukaryota; Viridiplantae; Streptophyta; Magnoliopsida; Brassicales; Brassicaceae.
AACCGCAAGUCAAAAAUGUUAUU